This 253-nucleotide ribosomal RNA is filed under the name uncultured bacterium. RNAcentral's name for it is "partial 16S ribosomal RNA". It matches the Rfam family "Bacterial small subunit ribosomal RNA", at positions 524 to 776 of the family's 1533-position model. The record is from RNAcentral.
GACGUAGGGUGCGAGCGUUGUCCGGAUUUAUUGGGCGUAAAGAGCUCGUAGGCGGCUCGUCGCGUCAGCUGUGAAAACCCGCGGCUUAACCGUGGGCGUGCAGCUGAUACGGGCGGGCUAGAGUUCGGUAGGGGAGACUGGAAUUCCUGGUGUAGCGGUGAAAUGCGCAGAUAUCAGGAGGAACACCGGUGGCGAAGGCGGGUCUCUGGGCCGAUACUGACGCUGAGGAGCGAAAGCGUGGGGAGCGAACAGG